This 494-nucleotide ribosomal RNA is filed under the name uncultured bacterium. RNAcentral describes it as "bacterial SSU rRNA". It matches the Rfam family "Bacterial small subunit ribosomal RNA", at positions 29 to 517 of the family's 1533-position model. The record is from RNAcentral.
AUUGAACGCUGGCGGCAUGCCUUACACAUGCAAGUCGAACGGCAGCACGGGUGCUUGCACCUGGUGGCGAGUGGCGAACGGGUGAGUAAUACAUCGGAACGUACCUUAUCGUGGGGGAUAACGCAGCGAAAGCUGUGCUAAUACCGCAUACGCCCUGAGGGGGAAAGCGGGGGAUCGAAAGACCUCGCGCGAUUAGAGCGGCCGAUGCCUGAUUAGCUUGUUGGUGGGGUAAAAGCCCACCAAGGCGACGAUCAGUAGCUGGUCUGAGAGGACGAUCAGCCACACUGGGACUGAGACACGGCCCAGACUCCUACGGGAGGCAGCAGUGGGGAAUUUUGGACAAUGGGGGAAACCCUGAUCCAGCAAUGCCGCGUGAGUGAAGAAGGCCUCGGGUUGUAAAGCUCUUUGUCUAGGGAAGAAACACCGGCUCUAACACAGUCCGGGAAUGACGGUACCUGAAGAAUAAGCACCGGCUAACUACGUGCCAGCAGCCG